RNAcentral lists this long non-coding RNA (1470 nucleotides) under Helianthus annuus (common sunflower). The record is from RNAcentral. Lineage: Eukaryota; Viridiplantae; Streptophyta; Magnoliopsida; Asterales; Asteraceae.
UUGUACUCCUCCUCUUUUUUUCUUUCUCACGCUUCUUUUUCAAACCCUCAUCUUCUUCCUCUCUCUCUUUCUUCCCUAGAAUUUCAUACACUUGAAGAAACACUAUGUAGUUUAGGGUUAGAUCUGACAAACUCAUUGAGUUUGGGGGACGAAAGAGAGUAACGGUGGUGAUGAUUUGGUUACAAACUUCUAUACGGCGGUGACACUGGAUGAUUGGACAAGAUCGGAAUCAACUGCAUACAUCUCCUUCGAUUGGUGGCUAGAGAUACUUUGCAGAGAGAUGAUGUUAAACAUCUAGGGUUUGGGAGUAUAGAUGGAUUCAUCUUUGUGGUGGGACACACUCAUGUUCUUCAAGUUAAAGGUUAUCACAGUAUGUUUGUUCUCCUUUCAUUAAGAAUAGUGGCUUGUGGAUCAUCCUAAAUUUCUCAACAACCCAUUUGGGGACAGUGCUUCCCAUGAUUGUUCAGGAAAUCUAUUAUCGUUUGUCAUCACCAAAUGGUCACCUUGUCGAGAGUGCUACAUUCUAUGAUUCGUUAGUUGGGGUCUUUCGCUAUAAACCCUUUGACGCUAAAGUUGACUAGAGUAUGGUUGCUAAGGCUUCUCCAUGUUAUGUGACAUAUCUUAAGAACUCUGUAGAUAAAAUUGUUAACUUUUUUGAAAGCAAUGCUGCCGUGAAUCAGAAGAUAGCCUUGGAAAUAGCCGUUGCUGUGCAGAUAACGAUCGAUGAGGUUAAGCGCUCUGCACAACAGCAAGUAAACAAGGCCUUGAAGGAUCAUGCCAGGUUCUUCUUGGACUUGGAUAUAGCAGCUCCCAAGAUCACCAUUCCAACUGAAUUUUCACCAGACAGUUUUCAUUCGACAAAACUCUUUCUUGACCUCGGAAACUUGAUAAUUCGUACUCAGUCUUUGAUCCCAAUCACACAUAAUGACCGGCGUUCUGCUUUACUUCCGAAUUCUCCAGUGACGUUUCCUGGCCGACAACCCUGAAUAGUUCUACCUAAUUUGGGUAUACAUGCACAAAAAAUGGCGGAAGGGCAUCAAAAUGGUAAAAAAAUAAAACCUCCACGUUCCUUUAAGAGUACAAGGUGGCGAUGACAAUAUAUUGGGAUAUAACAGUAACUGGAAGCGAAGCUACUUACAAGGUUCAUAUAGUAACUGGAAACGAAGCUACUACAAGCACGUUAUCAUUAAACAAGAAGUGAUGUUUUAUUUAUGAUGAGCAUAACAUGUUUAAUCCUUUGGACUUUCAAAUCCAACAGUUUCGAAGUUCUUGGUAGAAAGAUCAAUUUUAUGGCAGGUUCGAUAUAAUUUAGUACUUUUCUUAAUUCUUUGUUUUCCCGUAUAUAUAUUUUUCUAUUCAAAUAUUUUUUAAGAACCUUCUAUAACUUGAGAGCACUAAUUUUGCAUUGUAAUGUAUUCUUUAUUAAAGAAACAGGUCAUUAUGUUGUAAAUAUAUGGCAAAUAAUGGCUU